Nannospalax galili (Upper Galilee mountains blind mole rat) is the source of this 287-nucleotide unclassified non-coding RNA. Its record names the gene 7SK. It matches the Rfam family "7SK RNA". Rfam says of the family: 7SK was discovered as an abundant small nuclear RNA in the mid-70s but a possible function has only recently been suggested. Two independent studies have found that 7SK RNA binds the CDK9/cyclin T complex (known as elongation factor P-TEFb). P-TEFb activates transcription by phosphorylating the C-terminal domain of RNA polymerase II. The record is from Ensembl. NCBI's taxonomy places the organism in Eukaryota, Metazoa, Chordata, Mammalia, Rodentia, Spalacidae.
GAAUGUGAGGGUGAUUCGGUUGUUGUACCUGUCACCCCAUUGACCAACAGGGCUGAUUGGGUUGAACGGCUGGCUAGGAGGUGUCCCUGUCCUUCCUUACUACUCCAUGUGCAUCCCUCCCAGAGCUGUCAGAGAAAAUGACCUUCCCUAACAGAAGCAGACGAUUCUUCAGUCAAGGUCAUAGGAGCAGCUCACUGCCUUGCUUGACACUUGCAACAAGCUCUCAAGAAGUCCUUGCUUUCUAGUCCUGCCACAUCCUAGAUAUGUGGAUUUUCACAAUUUUCUUG